AUGGCCAAAUCACGUUCAAACACCGGUUCCCGUGCGAUCAUGGAAGUUAAGCAACUUCAAGCCUGGUCAGUACCUAGAUGGGUGAACGUUUUGGAAUACCAGAUGCUGUAAG
Acanthosepion pharaonis is the source of this 112-nucleotide non-coding RNA. The record is from the annotation of a GenBank genome assembly. Lineage: Eukaryota; Metazoa; Mollusca; Cephalopoda; Sepiida; Sepiidae.